AAUAUGUUGACCUUUAACCAAUGUGCUUAAACUAUUGACCUGCAAUCAUGUGUGCUAUAAAAAGAACAAAGUAAGGUACACGCUGUCUUGUGAUAACCUUCGUGUAUUGCCCUACAUAAGGCCAGUUGACCUGUUAGCCUGUCCGCUUGUGGAAAUUUCCACUGGUUGACAUCUAUACAUGCAUGACGCAAUCAAUGGCUUUAUCAAUCUAGAGAAAUUCAAAUAAAAUAUAUUUAUUAUACAUCUCUGUAUCAUAUUAUACAAAC
This 266-nucleotide long non-coding RNA is filed under the name Mytilus galloprovincialis (Mediterranean mussel). Lineage: Eukaryota; Metazoa; Mollusca; Bivalvia; Mytilida; Mytilidae. The record is from RNAcentral.